GGCAAAUAUUAAAGGACAGUCAUACUCCUACUGCCAAAUGAGUCAUUUAUCUAAAAGCUAUGAGAAACCAAUGGAAGAUUCUGAAACCCAAGUCUGAGGUGCUUCCCUCCAUCACAUCAUUUCUCCAUAAUGUUCUGCCCCACCUUGAGUCUGACAUCUAUGGACUGAGACCUCUGAAACUGCUUUAAAUGCAGCAAGAAUAUGAAUUAAGGGAACUUCAAGUGAACACAAAGACUGAGAGAAGAACAUGCCUGAGUCUUGGAUCUACCAAGGACAUGAUUGUAUCCAUUUAUUCAACAAAUAUGAUUGAUUAGUUACCAACUACACAAUCACAGUCGAUUGGUUAACAACUUCAUAGAAUACUGAACAAGUUUCUGUUGAUAUAGCAGGUGGACAAACUCUCAUUUCUCAUGUAGCUAACCUAUGGCGAGGAAUGGCAGGCAAUAUAAUAAAGGCAAGUGAAUAUAGGAGAUAACAUCAGUUCAGGCAAAUUCUUUGAAGAAAAUAAAAUACAAUAUAGUUCUAGAAAGUGACUGGUGUCAACAUAAAUAAGGUGAUACAGGUAUAUUUAACUUGAGAA
Non-coding RNA from Ictidomys tridecemlineatus (thirteen-lined ground squirrel), 580 nucleotides. NCBI's taxonomy places the organism in Eukaryota, Metazoa, Chordata, Mammalia, Rodentia, Sciuridae. The record is from RefSeq and is a predicted model, not a curated record.